CCGCAAACCGACACUGGUGCGCGAGAUGAGUAUUCUAAGGCGCUUGAGAGAACUCGGGAGAAGGAACUCGGCAAAUUGACACCGUAACUUCGGAAGAAGGUGUGCCUUUAGUAGGUGAACCUGUACAAGGGGAGCCCAAUGAGGUUGCAAAAAAUCGGUGGCUGCGACUGUUUAAUAAAAACACAGCACUCUGCAAACACGAAAGUGGACGUAUAGGGUGUGACGCCUGCCCGGUGCUGGAAGAUUAAAUGAUGGGGUGCAAGCUCUUGAUUGAAGUCCCAGUAAACGGCGGCCGUAACAAUAACGGUCCUAAGGUAGCGAAAUUCCUUGUCGGGUAAGUUCCGACCUGCACGAAUGGCGUAACGAUGGCCACACUGUCUCCUCCCGAGACUCAGCGAAGUUGAAAUGUUUGUGAUGAUGCAAUCUCCCCGCGGAAAGACGGAAAGACCCCAUGAACCUUUACUGUAGCUUUGUAUUGGACUUUGAACAGAUCUGUGUAGGAUAGGUGGGAGGCUUUGAAGCAGGGUCGCUAGAUCUUGUGGAGCCAACGUUGAAAUACCACCCUGGUGUGUUUGAGGUUCUAACCUAGGCCCGUAAUCCGGGUCGGGGACAGUGCAUGGUAGGCAGUUUGACUGGGGCGGUCUCCUCCCAAAGCGUAACGGAGGAGUUCGAAGGUACGCUAGUUACGGUCGGACAUCGUGACGAUAGUGCAAUGGCAUAAGCGUGCUUAACUGCGAGACUGACAAGUCGAGCAGAUGCGAAAGCAGGACAUAGUGAUCCGGUGGUUCUGUAUGGAAGGGCCAUCGCUCAACGGAUAAAAGGUACUCUGGGGAUAACAGGCUGAUACCGCCCAAGAGUUCAUAUCGACGGCGGUGUUUGGCACCUCGAUGUCGGCUCAUCUCAUCCUGGGGCUGUAGCCGGUCCCAAGGGUUUGGCUGUUCGCCAUUUAAAGAGGUACGUGAGCUGGGUUUAAAACGUCGUGAGACAGUUUGGUCCCUAUCUUCCGUGGGCGCUGCAGAUUUGAAGAAGCCUGCUCCUAGUACGAGAGGACCGGAGUGGACGCACCUCUGGUGUAUCGGUUGUCACGCCAGUGGCAUUGCCGAGUAGCUAUGUGCGGAAGAGAUAACCGCUGAAAGCAUCUAAGCGGGAAACUCGUUCUAAGAUGAGAUCUGCCGGGGCCUUGAGCCCCCUGAAGGGUCGUUCAAGACCAGGACGUUGAUAGGUCAGGUGUGGAAGCGCAGUAAUGCGUUAAGCUAACUGAUACUAAUUGCUCGUGCCGCUUGACCCC
This 1288-nucleotide ribosomal RNA is filed under the name metagenome. Its description in RNAcentral is "bacterial LSU rRNA". It matches the Rfam family "Bacterial large subunit ribosomal RNA", at positions 1647 to 2925 of the family's 2925-position model. The record is from RNAcentral.